CAUCCUGCCCAGUGAAUUAAUUUUCAACGGCCGCGGUAUCCUGACCGUGCAAAGGUAGCAUAAUCAUUUGCCUUUUAAUUGAAGGCUAGUAUGAAAGGACACACAAGAAUAAUACUGUCUCAUUUGGGUUAUCUUAAAACUGAUUUUUAGGUGAAGAAGCCUAAAUUUCCAUAAAGGACAAGAAGACCCUAUAGAGCUUUAUCAGUAAAAGUUAUUAAACUCCCCUACUGAUUUGGUUGGGACAACCAAAAGACAAUCAUACCUCUUUUUUUAAAAAUAUAACUCACACCCAUAACUGAAUUAGAAUUUCAAGCUACCUUAGGGAUAACAGGCUAAUCCCACUAGAGAGACCACAUUGACAGUGGGGAUUGGCACCUCGAUGUUGGCUUAGUGUUACCAUUAGGCGCAGCCGCUUAAUUGA
This 421-nucleotide ribosomal RNA is filed under the name Perinereis wilsoni. RNAcentral describes it as "partial 16S ribosomal RNA". It matches the Rfam family "Bacterial large subunit ribosomal RNA", at positions 1854 to 2570 of the family's 2925-position model. The record is from RNAcentral. Lineage: Eukaryota; Metazoa; Annelida; Polychaeta; Phyllodocida; Nereididae.